GACGAACGCUGGCGGCGUGCUUAACACAUGCAAGUCGAACGGAAAGGCCCUGCUUUUGUGGGGUGCUCGAGUGGCGAACGGGUGAGUAACACGUGAGUAACCUGCCCUUGACUUUGGGAUAACUUCAGGAAACUGGGGCUAAUACCGGAUAGGAGCUCCUGCUGCAUGGUGGGGGUUGGAAAGUUUCGGCGGUUGGGGAUGGACUCACGGCUUAUCAGCUUGUUGGUGGGGUAGUGGCUUACCAAGGCUUUGACGGGUAGCCGGCCUGAGAGGGUGACCGGCCACAUUGGGACUGAGAUACGGCCCAGACUCCUACGGGAGGCAGCAGUGGGGAAUAUUGCACAAUGGGCGGAAGCCUGAUGCAGCAACGCCGCGUGCGGGAUGACGGCCUUCGGGUUGUAAACCGCUUUCGCCUGUGCCGAAGCGUGAGUGACGGUAAUGGGUAAAGAAGCACCGGCUAACUACGUG
This 468-nucleotide ribosomal RNA is filed under the name uncultured bacterium. RNAcentral's name for it is "partial 16S ribosomal RNA". It matches the Rfam family "Bacterial small subunit ribosomal RNA", at positions 28 to 507 of the family's 1533-position model. The record is from RNAcentral.